GGGUAACAGGGUAACCACCCUUCGGAUGCUGACGAGUGUCGAACGGAGAAGAAGUAAUACAUCGGAACGUGCCUAGUAGUGGGGGAUAACUACUCGAAAGAGUGGCUAAUACCGCAUGAGAUCUACGGAUGAAAGCAGGGGAUCGCAAGACCUUGUGCUACUAGAGCGGCCGAUGGCAGAUUAGGUAGUUGGUGGGAUAAAAGCUUACCAAGCCGACGAUCUGUAGCUGGUCUGAGAGGACGAUCAGCCACACUGGGACUGAGACACGGCCCAGACUCCUACGGGAGGCAGCAGUGGGGAAUUUUGGACAAUGGGCGCAAGCCUGAUCCAGCAAUGCCGCGUGCAGGAUGAAGGCCUUCGGGUUGUAAACUGCUUUUGUACGGAACGAAAAGCCCUGGGUUAAUACCCUGGGGUCAUGACGGUACCGUAAGAAUAAGCACCGGCUAACUACGUGCCAGCAGCCGCGGUAAUACGUAGGGUGCGAGCGUUAAUCGGAAUUACUGGGCGUAAAGCGUGCGCAGGCGGUUUUGUAAGACAGAGGUGAAAUCCCCGGGCUCAACCUGGGAACUGCCUUUGUGACUGCAAGGCUAGAGUACGGCAGAGGGGGGAUGGAAUUCCGCGUGUAGCAGUGAAAUGCGUAAUAUGCGGAGGAACACCGAUGGCGAAGGCAAUCCCCUGGGCCUGUACUGACGCUCAUGCACGAAAGCGUGGGAGCAAACAGGAUUAAUACCCUGGUAGUCACGCCCUAAACGAUGUCAACUGGUUGUUGGGUCUUAACUGGACUCAUACCAAACUAACGCGUGAAGUUGACCGCCCGGGGGAUAACGGCCCAAGGU
Molecule: ribosomal RNA, 836 nt
Filed under: Comamonas aquatica
Lineage: Bacteria; Pseudomonadati; Pseudomonadota; Betaproteobacteria; Burkholderiales; Comamonadaceae
Description: bacterial SSU rRNA
Rfam family: Bacterial small subunit ribosomal RNA
Source: RNAcentral